This 482-nucleotide ribosomal RNA is filed under the name uncultured bacterium. RNAcentral describes it as "partial 16S ribosomal RNA". It matches the Rfam family "Bacterial small subunit ribosomal RNA", at positions 30 to 507 of the family's 1533-position model. The record is from RNAcentral.
AUUGAACGCUGGCGGCAUGCUUUACACAUGCAAGUCGAACGGAAACAGGCCGCAAGGUGCUGACGAGUGGCGAACGGGUGAGUAAUGCAUCGGAACGUGCCCAGUCGUGGGGGAUAACUACUCGAAAGAGUAGCUAAUACCGCAUACGAUCUAUGGAUGAAAGCGGGGGACCGUAAGGCCUCGCGCGAUUGGAGCGGCCGAUGUCAGAUUAGGUAGUUGGUGGGGUAAAGGCUCACCAAGCCAACGAUCUGUAGCUGGUCUGAGAGGACGAGCAGCCACACUGGGACUGAGACACGGCCCAGACUCCUACGGGAGGCAGCAGUGGGGAAUUUUGGGCAAUGGGCGCAAGCCUGAUCCAGCAAUGCCGCGUGCAGGAAGAAGGCCUUCGGGUUGUAAACUGCUUUUGUACGGAACGAAACGACUCUGGUUAAUACCCGGAGCUAAUGACGGUACCGUAAGAAUAAGCACCGGCUAACUACGUG